This 539-nucleotide ribosomal RNA is filed under the name uncultured fungus. RNAcentral describes it as "eukaryotic LSU rRNA". The stretch from base 193 to 338 matches the Rfam family "5.8S ribosomal RNA". Lineage: Eukaryota; Fungi. The record is from RNAcentral.
CUUGGUCAUUUAGAGGAAGUAAAAGUCGUAACAAGGUUUCCGUAGGUGAACCUGCGGAAGGAUCAUUACAAAUCUUUGCGAGUGCUGCGUGCAUAACUGUGCGUAGCAUCUCACAACAUUAGCACAAGGUCGCAAGGCCUUGAUGUUUACGCUUGUUUGUUUGACAGAGUUAGUUGAGACAAUAAUAAAGACAACUUUUAACAAUGGAUCUCUUGGCUCUUGCAACGAUGAAGAACGCAGUAAAGUGCGAUAUGUAGUGCGAUUUGCAUGAAUCUGUGAGUCAUCUAAUUUUUGAACGCAACUUGCGCCUCUUACGAGGCAUGUCUGUUUGAGUGCCGUAAUCCUCUGCAGCAAUGCGAUUUGACUCUUGUCUUUGUUGACCGAGUUUAAAGGGAGCUAGAGGAUGGUCAGUUUGGACUAGCCCGAGUGCUAAGCAUUCUUGGGUCUAGCGCUGGAUUGCCCAUUUCAUCUAUUUUUUAUUUUGGCCUCAAAUCAGGCAAGACUACCCGCUGAACUUAAGCAUAUCAAUAAGCGGAGGA